GUUCAGGGUAAAGAUGGAUGGAGUCUAUGCUGUGAGUGUCUCUGGGGAUUUGUGUUGAUGUCUGAGCCAACUAUCCACUGUUACUUUCCCUCUGUGUGACUGAGCACUGAGCAGCAGCUGGAACAGGGCUGGUAACAGACAGAAGGGUCUCAGGCAGGGCAGGGCAGUGACUGACUGACUGACUGAGUGACAGUAACAGGGCUGGUAACAGACAGAAGGGUCUCAGGCAGGGCAGGACAGACAGUGACUGACUGACUGACUGAGUGACAGUAACAGGGCUGGUAACAGACAGAAGGGUCUCAGGCAGGGCAGGACAGUGACUGACUGAGUGACAGUAACAGGGCUGGUAACAGACAGAAGGGUCUCAGGCAGGGCAGGACAGUGACUGACUGACUGACUGAGUGACAGUAACAGGGCUGGUAACAGACAGAAGGGUCUCAGGCAGGGCAGGACAGUGACUGACUGACUGACUGAGUGACAGUAACAGGGCUGGUAACAGACAGAAGGGUCUCAGGAAGGACAGGAUAGUGACUGACUGAGUGACAGUAACAGGGCUGGUAACAGACAGAAGGGUCUCAGGCAGGGC
This is a long non-coding RNA of Oncorhynchus tshawytscha (Chinook salmon), 586 nucleotides long. Lineage: Eukaryota; Metazoa; Chordata; Actinopteri; Salmoniformes; Salmonidae. The record is from Ensembl.